GUUUAUGGCCAUAUCACCGUGAACACAUCCAAUCUCGUAAGCUAAGCAGAGUUGGGCCUGGUUUGUACUUGGAUGGGAGAAGGAACGGACCAGCUGGGAACUAAGAAUGUGGCCAGUACACU
Molecule: ribosomal RNA, 122 nt
Filed under: Erinaceus europaeus (western European hedgehog)
Lineage: Eukaryota; Metazoa; Chordata; Mammalia; Eulipotyphla; Erinaceidae
Source: RNAcentral